RNAcentral lists this long non-coding RNA (2741 nucleotides) under Homo sapiens (human). RNAcentral describes it as "HSALNT0213331". Lineage: Eukaryota; Metazoa; Chordata; Mammalia; Primates; Hominidae. The record is from RNAcentral.
UAAGAGAUCGCCCAAGAUUAUCCAGCUGAGUGGCAGAGCUGGAAUUCCAAGUUCUGAUGCCACAGCGCUUUACCACCUGUGUUUCUGUUACCCACUGCUGCCUUCAUCUUGGGAAAGUAAUCUAGUUUAUAGCAGACAGAAUUUACAAGUUCACUGGGAGAAAGAAGUCCACUGCCACCACCCCUCCCCGUCCCCACUCUUGUCUGUGGAGUGACCACAGAGCAGAGGGCUUCUGUCAGUCCCCUGGUGUGAAGCCUGGCAACAUAGGUGAGCUCAAGAGUCCUGGCCCCAGGGCAGUGGGACUGGGUAGGAGCAGCUCUACGUUGAGCAAACUGAGCUCAGCCAAAUCAGGUCCAGGCCACAUGUGACUGAGUCUCCUUUCACUUGUCCUGUGCCCUGAUCAUGUCCUGUCUGGGCUUCUUCCUUUACCCAGCAUUUGCUCAUCAUGGCUUCAGGGUGCCAGAGGAAUGGGAUGUUGCAGAAUCUAUGACCGCCCAGUUCUCAUCUGACAUGGAAAAUACCUUCCUUAGGUUACAUCCAACGGUGUCAUAUACUUGACUUCAGAGAGCCUUUCAGGAACAUGGCCCAAGAGGGCAGUGACAGAAUCAAUAAGCAUCCACAGGAUCUGUCGUGGUGACCUGGACUGGAGGGGUCAGUGAGAGAGGAGACCAUGCCAGGACUGAGCAUUAGCCCAGAAUUCCCAGGCUGCAGGGGCUCUUGGCUCCCACCGAACGCUGGCUGGCCAGCCCACCCAGGAACAGCUGCUGCAGCUGCAGCCACCAGCGCUGCCUCGGGGAGGAGGGAGAGCAUCCCCUUCCUGUGCUCCCCACAAGAAAACACCUGGCCAAGGAGGGGCUGGGAGAAGACCAGAAAGAAUCCUGCAGAACGCUAUCUCUUCCAGACCUUUAGCGGCGGUAGAUUCCACCCAGCAGCCACACGUCCGCCAGCAGACUGCAGGUGUGUCCCCAAAGGACAGCACAGGAGGGGUGAGAGAGCCACAGCCCUGAAUGGAGAAUGAACAAGAAUUUGGGGACUUCCUCUUAAGUGUCAGUCCCAGAAUUUCCCUGGAUGCUAUGUGGGCUGCGUGGUGCUGAAGUGUCCCUUGUGAGUUGAUGGUCAGCCCAGAGGAAGCAAGGCAGGCAGGCGUGGUGGCUGAGAAUGGGAUGAUGCCAGGUUCACAUCUGUGCUCUUCCACGUCGCAGCUGUACGACCUUGGGUAUGUUCUCAUAACUCCUUGAGCCUCAGUUUUCUCAUCUGUGGAGUGACGCUGAAAAUCAUUCCUGAAUCACAGGGCUAUUGUGAUGAUUAAAUGAGCUGAUGCUUGUUGAGCUGAUGCUUGUUAAGUGUCUGGCACAAAGUAAGCCCUCAAUGAAGAUUAGUUCUGAUCACAUUGAAUGGGCAGGCAGUGGUCACUUGUUGUGCCUGAUCAUAAAUCACAGGGCAUUAGGACCUGACCGGACCUGAGUGGGCAUCUACCCCAAGGUCACAAACUGGAGGCCAUAGGCUGAUGCUGACUCACAGGACAUGUUGGGUUUGGCUCAUGCACUGUUUUUAAUUGUUUUGUUAAUUAUCAACAUUUAAAACUGAAAGGUUUAGACUUCCAGCUUCUCUUGGAAAAUAACUGCUUGCUCCCAAAGUUCAGCUGCUUAUUUCUAUCCAGAAAAUUAAUUGCAGCUUCCAGCUUCUCUUAGAAAAUGGGAGGAUCGGCCGUGCAUGGUGGCUCAUGCCUGUAAUCCCAGCACUUCGGGAGGGUGAGGUGGGCAGAUCACGAGGCCAGGAGAUCGAGACCAUCCUGGCUAACACGGUGAAACCCCAUUUCUACUAAAAAUACAAAAAUUAGCUGGGCGUGGUGGCACGCGCCUGUAGUCCCAGCUACUCGGGAGUCUGAGGCAGAAGAAUUGCUAGAACCUGGGUGGUGGAGGUUGCAAUGAGUUAAGAUCGCACCACUGCACUCCAGCCUGGGCAACAGGGUGAGACUCCGUCUCAAAAAAAUAAAAAUAAAAAAUAAAAAAAGAAAGAAAAAGAAAAAGAAAGAAAAUGGGAGGAUCUGGCUACUCUGGAGCUGCUGUUCUUAGAGCAGCUAUUGACUGGAGCUGAGAAGCAACAGCUUUUAAUGAGUAGCAGGUGAUCAGCCCACGUGCUUCCGCGGACGCAUUCCUGCCUGGCCACGCAGGCAUUCACUUUAAGAGCCCUGCCCAAUCUUCUCAUUUUACCAGUGAGGAUUCUGUCCCCCAACGACACUUAUCCAACCAAGGUCAUGUUCCUGAGCCUGGACCCUGGUUACUAACAAAAGCCAGCAUCCUUUGUCAGUAACCAGGGCCCUUGCCUGCCAUCUAACCUCACAUCAUGCAAGCUGUGGAGAAGGCCCAGUUUCCCUACCACGGGUUCUCCUCCUCUGAUCAGUCUAACUCUGUGUCUGGCACACAUCUGACAAGAGUUGAAGCAGAGUCCUAGGCUAUUUCCAGGACCAGUAACAGGACCCUUUGCCAGGUGCCCAACGUGGAUGGUGUCUGUCCUGUGCUCAGCUGUCACAGGAAAAGGUGGGAGGUUUGCCUUCUUCCUUCUCCGGCCUCCGCCGGUGUAGGCAUUAUAAAGAGGCCUCGGGGGCCACCUAGCAGCCAGCAGCGUCUCUACACAGGCCACUCCGUGUCCAGGCUGAGACCAUGUGCUUCCCAGCCUGUGACUGAACAUGGCAGUGGUACAAGGGCUCACCAUUUCUGGCCAGCACAGGACUUUCUGCU